UAGGGAAUCUUCGGCAAUGGACGAAAGUCUGACCGAGCAACGCCGCGUGAGUGAAGAAGGUUUUCGGAUCGUAAAACUCUGUUGUUAGAGAAGAACAAGGACGUUAGUAACUGAACGUCCCCUGACGGUAUCUAACCAGAAAGCCACGGCUAACUACGUGCCAGCAGCCGCGGUAAUACGUAGGUGGCAAGCGUUGUCCGGAUUUAUUGGGCGUAAAGCGAGCGCAGGCGGUUUCUUAAGUCUGAUGUGAAAGCCCCCGGCUCAACCGGGGAGGGUCAUUGGAAAAUGGGGGACUUGAGUGCAGAAGAGGAGAGUGGAAUUCCAUGUGUAGCGGUGAAAUGCGUAGAUAUAUGGAGGAACACCAGUGGCGAAGGCGGCUCUCUGGUCUGUAACUGACGCUGAGGCUCGAAAGCGUGGGGAGCAAACAGG
RNAcentral lists this ribosomal RNA (429 nucleotides) under Gemmatimonadota bacterium. Its description in RNAcentral is "Gemmatimonadetes bacterium partial 16S ribosomal RNA". It matches the Rfam family "Bacterial small subunit ribosomal RNA", at positions 355 to 776 of the family's 1533-position model. The record is from RNAcentral. Lineage: Bacteria; Pseudomonadati; Gemmatimonadota.